GUGUUCACUUCAGCAGUACAUAAACUAAAAUUGGAACAAUACAGAGAAGAUAAGCAUGGCCACUGGGAAUUCCACCACAUUAAUUCAUGAAGCAUUCCAUAUUUUU
Molecule: small nuclear RNA, 106 nt
Filed under: Choloepus hoffmanni (Hoffmann's two-fingered sloth)
Lineage: Eukaryota; Metazoa; Chordata; Mammalia; Pilosa; Megalonychidae
Source: RNAcentral